Molecule: long non-coding RNA, 242 nt
Filed under: Lathyrus oleraceus (garden pea)
Lineage: Eukaryota; Viridiplantae; Streptophyta; Magnoliopsida; Fabales; Fabaceae
Description: Pisum sativum (pea) long non-coding RNA (PSAT_LNC006655)
Source: RNAcentral
GCAAGGGAAGCAGAAAUCCUAAGGGUAAAGGAAGCUGAAGCUAAAGCUCUGGCCGAUGCUGCUGCUGCUGCCGAAGCUGAAGCACAGGCUGCUGCUGAAGCUGAAGCACAGGCUGCUGAUGAAGCUGAAGCAAAGGCCGCUGCUGAAGCACAGCAGGCUCUGACUCAGGGGGAGUCCUCAUCUGUCGUUCCUAUGGUUCUCCAGACGCUGGAAGAACUGAAGAAAGAUUAGAAGGAACUCCG